This 468-nucleotide ribosomal RNA is filed under the name uncultured bacterium. Its description in RNAcentral is "partial 16S ribosomal RNA". It matches the Rfam family "Bacterial small subunit ribosomal RNA", at positions 28 to 507 of the family's 1533-position model. The record is from RNAcentral.
GACGAACGCUGGCGGCGUGCUUAACACAUGCAAGUCGAACGGAAAGGCCCUGCUUUUGUGGGGUGCUCGAGUGGCGAACGGGUGAGUAACACGUGAGUAACCUGCCCUUGACUUUGGGAUAACUUCAGGAAACUGGGGCUAAUACCGGAUAGGAGCUCCUGCUGCAUGGUGGGGGUUGGAAAGUUUCGGCGGUUGGGGAUGGACUCGCGGCUUAUCAGCUUGUUGGUGGGGUAGUGGCUUACCAAGGCUUUGACGGGUAGCCGGCCUGAGAGGGUGACCGGCCACAUUGGGAAGGAGAUACGGCCCGGACUCCGACGGGAGGAAGAGGGGGGAAAUAUUGAAAAAGGGGCGGAGGCCUGAGGCAGCACCGCCGGGGGGGGAAGGAGGGCCUUGGGGUUGUAACCCGCUUUCGCCUGGGAAGAAGGGGGAGUGACGGUAAUGGGUAAAGAAGCACCGGCAAACUACGUG